CAGGACGAACGCUGGCGGCGUGCUUAACACAUGCAAGUCGAGCGGAAAGGCCCUUCGGGGUACUCGAGCGGCGAACGGGUGAGUAACACGUGGGAAUCUGCCCUUUGCUUCGGAAUAACAGUUAGAAAUGACUGCUAAUACCGGAUGAUGUCGUAAGACCAAAGAUUUAUCGGCAAAGGAUGAGCCCGCGUAGGAUUAGGUAGUUGGUGGGGUAAAGGCCUACCAAGCCGACGAUCCUUAGCUGGUCUGAGAGGAUGAUCAGCCACACUGGGACUGAGACACGGCCCAGACUCCUACGGGAGGCAGCAGUGGGGAAUAUUGGACAAUGGGCGAAAGCCUGAUCCAGCAAUGCCGCGUGAGUGAUGAAGGCCUUCGGGUUGUAAAGCUCUUUUACCAGGGAUGAUAAUGACAGUACCUGGAGAAUAAGCUCCGGCUAACUCCGUG
Molecule: ribosomal RNA, 444 nt
Filed under: uncultured bacterium
Lineage: Bacteria
Description: bacterial SSU rRNA
Rfam family: Bacterial small subunit ribosomal RNA
Source: RNAcentral